RNAcentral lists this ribosomal RNA (245 nucleotides) under uncultured bacterium. Its description in RNAcentral is "partial 16S ribosomal RNA". It matches the Rfam family "Bacterial small subunit ribosomal RNA", at positions 524 to 768 of the family's 1533-position model. The record is from RNAcentral.
UACGUAGGCAGCGAGCGUUGUUCGGAGUUACUGGGCGUAAAGAGUAUGUAGGCGGUUUGGUAAGUCUGGUGUGAAAUCUCCCGGCUCAACUGGGAGGGUGCGCCGGAAACUGCCGGGCUGGAGUGCGGGAGAGGAGAGCGGAAUUCCUGGUGUAGCGGUGAAAUGCGUAGAUAUCAGGAGGAACACCGGCGGUGUAGACGGCUCUCUGGACCGUAACUGACGCUGAGAUACGAAAGCGUGGGUAG